Long non-coding RNA from Nanorana parkeri, 148 nucleotides. RefSeq lists it as uncharacterized. The record is from RefSeq and is a predicted model, not a curated record. The transcript has 3 exons. NCBI's taxonomy places the organism in Eukaryota, Metazoa, Chordata, Amphibia, Anura, Dicroglossidae.
GUACUGCUAUUACAAGGCUGAUCAUCGCAGAGAUACAGUUUUGUGUAUUUCAUUGGUCUCAGGCGAUUGUUUCGACUGCUAACACAUCGCUGGAGAAGACUGCAACAAAAAUCCUUGCAGCCAAAAACGUCUGGGCUAUUCCCAAAUC